UAGUCCUAGCCCUAAACGAUGGGUACUAGUUAGGGGGAGUUUCUAUGCUCUCCCUGGCGAAGCUAAUGUAUUAAGUACCCCGCCUGGGGAGUACGGCCGCAAGGCUAAAACUCAAAGGAAUUGACGGGGGCUCACACAAGCGGUGGAGCAUGUUGUUUAAUUCGAUGCAACGCGAAGAACCUUACCCAGGCCUGAAUGCAGGGAUUAAGCUGUGAAAGCAGUGGAUUGCCUUCGGGUGUAACCUGCACUGGUGUUGCAUGGCUGUCGUCAGCUCGUGUCGUGAGAUGUUGGGUUAAGUCCCGUAACGAGCGAAACCCCUAUUGUUAGUUGCCAGCGGGUAAUGCCGGGGACUCUAGCGAGACUGCCGCUGUCAAGGCGGAGGAAGGUGGGGACGACGUCAAGUCAUCAUGGCCCUUAUGCCUGGGGGCUACAAACGUGCUACAAUGGUCGGGGACAGAGGGGACGCGAAGCCGCGAGGUCGAGCAAAUCCCACAAACCUGGGCCUCAGUUCGGGAUUGGCAGGGCU
This 526-nucleotide ribosomal RNA is filed under the name uncultured bacterium. RNAcentral's name for it is "bacterial SSU rRNA". It matches the Rfam family "Bacterial small subunit ribosomal RNA", at positions 791 to 1309 of the family's 1533-position model. The record is from RNAcentral.